Molecule: ribosomal RNA, 300 nt
Filed under: Salmonella enterica subsp. enterica serovar Thompson
Lineage: Bacteria; Pseudomonadati; Pseudomonadota; Gammaproteobacteria; Enterobacterales; Enterobacteriaceae
Also listed under: 2 other names
Description: partial 23S ribosomal RNA
Rfam family: Bacterial large subunit ribosomal RNA
Source: RNAcentral
GGGUUGUGAGGUUAAGCGACUAAGCGUACACGGUGGAUGCCCUGGCAGUCAGAGGCGAUGAAGGGCGUGCUAAUCUGCGAUAAGCGCCGGUAAGGUGAUAUGAACCGUUAUAACCGGCGAUACCCGAAUGGGGAAACCCAGUGUGACUCGUCACACUAUCAUUAACUGAAUCCAUAGGUUAAUGAGGCGAACCGGGGGAACUGAAACAUCUAAGUACCCCGAGGAAAAGAAAUCAACCGAGAUUCCCCCAGUAGCGGCGAGCGAACGGGGAGGAGCCCAGAGCCUGAAUCAGCAUGUGUG